Cyprinus carpio carpio is the source of this 501-nucleotide long non-coding RNA. The record is from Ensembl. NCBI's taxonomy places the organism in Eukaryota, Metazoa, Chordata, Actinopteri, Cypriniformes, Cyprinidae.
CGAACAUGCCAUAAGGAAAGCAGGCUCACCUUAAAUCAGCGGUGCUCUGUCUGAUGUUUUAGACUCAGAUACAUUAUGAACAUCUGCACCAUCAGCAGACGUGAGGACAGUAUGUGAGACACCUGUAUACUGCACAUGUGUCAGUGAUGCCUAACGCAUUAGUUCUCAUGUGCAACUCGUCGUCUUCAGCCUGCUUUUGUGUGGAGGAAAAAGUGGAGGAAAUCAAGUCAAAUGCGGUUGAAACCACAAGAAGAAAGCAGCCAUUACUGUAAACGCUAUCAGAAGAGAACCCACUUCACCUCUCCUCGAGCAGAUACGAUGAACCCUGUUCUCUAGGCCUCGGUUAGGAAAGCAGGCUCUGUUUUUAGAGCUGUCAGAGCCACACACCCAGCGUGGGCGACGUUUGCUGUGUGAAGGGAAGCUCAGGCACAAACCCUGUAAUCUGGGGUCAUCACUCCUCCCCAGAGAUCCCAUCUCCUCACGCAACUCAACGAUCAGAUA